GCCGGGCAUGGUGGCGCAUGCCUGUAAUCCCGGCUACUCAGGAGGCUGAGGCAGGAGAAUCGCUUGAACCCGGGAGGCAGAGGUUGCAGUGAGCCAAGAUCGCGCCACUGCACUCUGGCCUGGGCGACAGAGCGAAAUUCCGUCUCAA
This 148-nucleotide non-coding RNA is filed under the name Gorilla gorilla gorilla (western lowland gorilla). The record is from Rfam by way of RNAcentral. Lineage: Eukaryota; Metazoa; Chordata; Mammalia; Primates; Hominidae.